AAUAAACUAGGUUAUUCUUCCGGAAUGACUAAGUUAUUCAAACCAUCCACAGUCGGUCAUAUGUUGGAAGUAGAUAUGAAUUAAGACUGUCAUGGGUUGGCUUGUAGAGGUCUAAGGUGUUGGACAAAGGGCUACAACACUCAUGAGUGCUCAUAAGUUCUGAGUAUUGGAUUCAACCCGCGCUCAUUGGAAUCACUUCAUGGAUUUUAUCACGAGUGAUCAUGAGACGAUAAUAUCUUAUAUUCUUCAAACCUAGAGAUAUGAGUUGUUACUAUGAGUUGGUUGUACAUUGAUUGCACGAAAACGCAUUUGGUAACUCGGUGCUAUAAAACGUGCCUUUGUGUAUGAUUCAACAAGUAGUAGAACAAGCCAUAUGAGUCGAAGUUUAUCCAUUCCUUUUACCUUCGGGAUAAAAGCGAUAUCUGUGGGCCCCUCGAUGAUUUGAUGAUGACAAAUGGAAGUGCUCGGCCGGGCCAGGACUGAUUUGAUUUGUUCAAUUAGUCAGUCGUCAUAAAUCGGAAAUCGGGAAACAACAAAUGGACAGAGAGAAUGAUUAUAAUCCAUGUCUCAGUCCAUAUGAUAUCUAGAAUGGAGGAAUAUAUGAUCCCUUAUCUAAUGGACAAGUUCGUUGACAAGAUCAGAGUUCGACAGCAGCUUUAAGAGCUACGAUUGCCAGUUAGGUUUGAAGUCAUACGCAAUAAUAGUUUUAGACUUAUCCAAGUGGGAGACUGUUGGAUUAAUGUCUAAGUCCAUAACUAUAUUUGGUAUGUACUUGACCCGACCCGGCAUGGUCCAUUUGGGUUGCACUUCACCGACACAAUUUAUAUGGAUAAUCUUUUGAGAAUAGUAUGUUUAUGAUUAAUAUUAAUAUAUUAUAAGUUCUAAUAUAUUAAUAUGGAAUCAUAUUAUUUAAUUAGUAUUGAUCAAGAAUUAAUUUAUAAUUAAUUAAGUGAUCAAAAGGAACUAAUUAAAUAUGGACUCUUAUAUAUAUGGAAUGGGCCAAGUUCAUUUAGGUUGGGCUAAGCUUUCAUGGAUAGUCCAUGGAGUGUUUAACCCAUGGAUCCUAGGAAAUGAAAGGUCAUGGGUAUUAGGGUUUAACCCUAAUCCUCCAUACUAUAUAAAGAUGUCUUUGGUUGGUGAAAUUGGCACUAGUGUGAUACACUAAGAGGGCUAGCCGAUUUCACUAAGAGAGAACCAAGUAUUCAUAUUCUCUAAAGUCUUCCAAGGUGUCUUGGUGAUUUGUGAUUCCACUUGAGGCUUCCACACUAUUGGGGCUAAGCUCUUAAAGCUUGAAGACAUCAAGCUACAUCAAAAGGUAUGUCUUCUAACUAGUACUUUGUAGAUUAAGAACAUCAUAAUAUGCUAGUUAGGAUUAAAGCCUUGGAAAGUUCUUAUUUGCAUGUAUAAUUGAGAAAACAUAGAUCCAAGGUUUAUAGGGUUGCAUGUACACCAUAGGAGUGUUAGAAUGCUCAAAACCCAACAGAUACACUCGACGAGUAGGAGCCCCAGACAGAAUAUUUUUGAGUUUUUUUGGCUAGAAAUGGACUAGGAACAUUACCCUAAGCUGUUUUUGGACUUAUAAACUUGUUUUUGAUGUGGUAAUGUUCAUGCUAACCCAAUUUCAAAGAUAAUUGUCAAUAGAUUCAUGUUUUGUGUUAGUUUAGUGAUUAGGCUAAUUAGAUGAAAACGUUUGAUUUGAAUUAUCUUGUUCUUAUGAGUUGCUUAGAUUAAUAGAAAAUUUAAUUGAUUAUGUGUUUUCAAUCCAUUUUAAUCUAAGAGUUGAUUCUAAAAUGUGUUUUUGUAACUUUUCCUCAAGUUAUAUGAAAAGUCACAUUUAAUUUUCAUAAAAGUCAUAAAAGUUGGCAAUGGUUACAAAAAAAUGAAGAGUCUUGUCCUCAAGUUAUGGAGGUUCAAGAGUCACUUCAUUAAGUAAUAAAAUGUGUAACCUUAAUUAAUUCCAUAAGUUACAAAAUCAAGAAAAGGUACAUUCUUUUAUUAGUUUAAAGUCUUCCAUAACUUGUCCUCAAGUUAUGGAACAUGAAGAGUCCUUUAUUUAAAACUACUUUAAACACAUAAGUUAUGAAAUUAAUUAGUUUUGAAUAGUUUCAAAACUUGCCCUCAAGUUUUGGAAUUAGAAAAGUUUUCACUUAUGAAAACUUUAAUUUCAAGUUAACCCAUAGAAUUUUAAAAGUUAAAAUUCAACCCUUAUACUUUAUAAUAUUAUAAGUUAAUAAUAUUUAUACAUAUGUAUAAGAGAAAGUCAGUCUUACCGUUAGUAGGUGUCAUUCACGAAGCCGGUCUAUAAGGGGGUAUAAGAUUACUGCCUAUAAAAUGGCAGUUUAAUGGGUGUCCACUCUCACCUACUGCUUUAUUGACUGGUGGAGGGUCUUUAGCCUAACAGGUAGGACAAGGACUACAAUUAUCCCUUCAUUAAAAGUAUUAAUGAUAAAUACUAAGUAACUAAACUCUUAUUGAUACCCAAUCUUAGUUACUUAGGAAAAAGUUGAAUAAGGUGCUAACCCAUGAAAUUAGACUUUGCACUUUGUUUAAGCUGUUACUGGAGCUUGUGUGGUUAACCGGCACACUAAUCUGGACUUAACAAGGUAGGCAAAGGGUAACUUAAUAUUUAUCAUUGUACCAGUGGAGCGUGUGUGGUUAACUGACACAUCGAUUAAGGGGUAAAUAUUAAGGGUACCCAAUAUAUUUGCAUGGUUACUUCAAACCUUGUUUUGUGAUCCUCAACAUCCCAGUCACAAAACCUGAAGGGCACACUCGAGAUUGAAACAUGCCAUUGAAAAUUUCAAUGAAUCUCAAAAGAUCUAGGAGUUUCAAAUCCAAUUAAGACUUAAUAAUACAUUGCGUUUAUCUUGGUGGAAACUGGUGAAUCGCAUUCACCUACCUUCAAAUAUUUUAUAGCUUGGAUUAUGGCAUCCCUCUUCCAAGUUAUAAAAGUAUUGUGUUGGGUCCUAGCCUUAAUAUUUCAUAUUAGGUGUCAUAUUAAGGACUUUAAAUCAACUAUCUUGAAUAUCUCCCAAAAAGAUGUCUGGUUUAGACAUUUAUGAUCUUCCCAAAUCUUUUGAAACAAGUUUUCCUAAAUGAAGAUGAUAUCCCAUGGAAAUCAUACAUCUUUCACCUCCUCCAAUUAUUCUCCUUAGCCCACAAGUUCUUGAAAAGUUUAAGGUCACUCAAGCCCUAUUGGCAAGCAAAGGUCUAUGUGCAAUCACAUCUUGGAGAUGUAGUCACAUAUUGACAAGCCGGAAGAGUUGGGUGUCAAAGUCUUGAGAAAGUUGGUGGUUCAAUCACUUUCUAAGUCACAUAGUGAGUUCCUUUGGGACACCUAUGAAACAGACUAUGACAAGACCCUUAAUGAUCUUAUCUAUUUGCUAUGAUCAACUUCCUAAAACUUAUGGAAAUUGACAAUAAUGACAUUGGAUAUCCAGUAAAGCUCUCUCUUCCCAAUGGAAAGGGAUCGGCCAUAGUCAACUCGAUUGACCAAAUGGUAAAGAGAAAGGCUAUAUCUGUGAUAGUCCAAUGUUCCAUUACCAAAGCGUCCAUAUGUUAAAUUUCCAAAGGAAGGGGCAUUGGUUGCGAGUCUGCCAAUUUACCUAAGGGUGUUAAAGUCAAUAAGGUUGACUCUACUUCAGGUAAAGUCCACUAUCUAACUCUGCUAAGUUUCUAUUCUGAGAUUCUUGAUACACGAUGUGAUUUGGUCACAUGGUGAUGUUUUAAGAAUCAAAGAAAUGUGAAGGAACUUAAAGAAAGAAUAUGUGGAAUCUGAUCGCGUAGAUGGAUCUCUAUCGCAUAGUUUGAAGAUCGGAUUGUUGAGCUACUUCUUAGGAGUUUUGAGAUAUUGCUUAGGAAUAGGUAACAACAAAGUUUCCAUGCUCCUUUGCAUUGUAAGGAUAGUUUUUCCUCAAAAAAAUUUUAAAAUAAAAGCAAAAAUUAUGAUUUUAUUUAUUUUAAAGUAUCCUUACAAUGGCAUUUGAGGAAAAAAUUGUUGCUUAUAUGAUUCCAUUAAUAGCAAGAGUGGAAAUAUGAAAUUGAUUCUUUCAUUUGUGGUAAUGUCUAAAUUUACCAAAUAAGGAAAGAUCCUCGAUGCCCAAGUUUCAAUUGGACCGGAACUUGGAAUCAUGAAAGUUGUAUAGCAUGAUGAAUGAGAAAUUUUCAUUUUUGAAAAAAUUAAGACUAACUAUUUGUUCACAUAGAUGUGUGAGUCAAGUAACGGACUAAGGUAUCAAGUACACAUUCUUGUGUACUGAUUAAGUCCACCAUGAAAGUUCGAUAAGACUAUUCGUCAUGAUUUAUAUAAGUUCAGUAAAUAUGGUUAUACUUACAAGUUUAAGUAUAAUUCUGAAACAUUGGAAAAUUUUCAAUGUAAAGUAGAACGAAUAAGAAGAGUCAAAUUAGGCAGAAAGAUAAAAGUUUCUGAAAUCUAAAAAGAUGGGAGAGUACUUUAGUAUCAGUUUUUGUGAUCAUCUUAAUGAUUAAGAACCCAUAGCACAAUUAGUUCUCUAAGGAAAUCUUAGUGCAUUCUUAUGAUUAAGAAGAGGAAUCUUGAAUUGUUGAAAUGGUUAAAUCAAGAAGAUGAGUCAUACUUCAUUCCAAUACAAGUCUUAGAGUCAUACUCCAAGAUUGUAACUUGAGUGACAUGUCUUAUAGAAGGUUUAAAACACAUGACAAAUAUAAGAGUAAAAGUUUUCUACUCUUGUAUAUUUGAAAUUGGUAAGUUGUGAUGCUUUGGAUAAAACAAAGACCAACUAAGGCCAAUUGUGUGAAGUGUUUGCCUUGAUUAGAAUCCACACUAUAUCUUGAAUAUCUGACAAGAAAGUCUUAUAUGUCAAGAGGAUAGUGGGAGUCUUAAAGGUCUUGAAAGUCUCAAGAACUAAUCAAGAAUAAAACCUGAAGUUCUUCACUAGCACACGACUUGAGGUUUUUAACCUAUCGUGUUGACAUAUUUUGUGCCUAUUCCAAUUAAAGUUGGCUUUGCAUAAGAGUUCUUCAAGUUCUCAACUGGUUGCAUAUCAACUUGGAAGCAAUGGCAGACCCUUGAACUUCCAGGUGGAAAGAAAUUAAGAUUGCACAAGUUCAGUCCAUAUGAGUUUGAAUUUGUCAUUAUCCUUCUCUUGUGACUAUGGUUUUGACAAUUCACAUGGAUAAGAACACAUACACCAUUAAAUCUAAGUAUCAUAAGGUUUCUCUCUGAUUCAUGAAAAUGAUCGUAAGGAAACACUUUCACUAAGUAGAUUUUAGCUAGAUAGCAAUUGUGAUAUUUGCAUUCUCAAAGUCGUUAGUGGUUUACCGGUACACUAACAUGGUCUUGUGAGAAGUGAAAAUGGUCUAAACAAUCAAGACUAUGAUUAUGACAUCCCUUUUCAUAGUUCUUAAAAUUGUUUAGAAACACAUGUGAGCUAUCUAAGAUAAGGUGUAUGAUUGUGAUAAAGUUUUAUCAAAGCAAUCUAGUAUCAGAAAUCUGAACUUUGGAAAGGAAGUCAAUAAAGUAUUGAUUUCUAGAAGUCCAGCUGAUUUCUGAGUACGUGUCAAAUCUAGUGGGAGCAUAAGUGUUAUGCUAAUAAUCAUCACGUUAGUGGGUGCAUGAUAAUUAUGAUAAGUAUUGCAAGUCAGCAAUGUUAAUUAUAGAAAACAAAAAGUUUCAAUUGGGAAAGAGNGUUAGCAAUGUUAAUUAUAGAAAACAAAAGUUUCAAUUGGGAAAAAGUUGUUUUGCUAUAAUUAAGGGAGAGGAAAUUAUGCUUCAUCUCAAAUCUAUAAGCUUAGAUCGUGAGGUUUUAAUCAUUUAGUCAAGGAUAUAUAUGAAUUUCAUGUUGGAAUGGCUCAACAUAAGGAAAUUCUGUAUAUGGGUCCAUUAUUUGCGUUCUAAAAUUCGAUUAUGAUUACGGCAUCCCUUUUCAUAAUCUGAAUUAUGAGAACUUGGCAAAUAGAAAUGGAAAUGUUAUAGCAAAAGACUGGUUUAGUCUUUAUGUGAGAUAUCAUGAAUCGUGUCCCAUAUGCUUCGGAUAUAGGAUCGAUUACAUGUGAUAUAUUCAUCCUUUCUAAAAUUUUCCAAAUGCCUAGGGCAUUAAGAAGGGAAAAGAUCUAGAAUUGGAUAUGACUAAAAGGAUUAAACAAUUGUCGAAGACAAUCUAAGGUUUACCAAUGACUGCUUGCUUAAGGACAGUUGGAAGUGUAGUGAUAAUUCUGGAAGGACCAUAUUGACAUAAUUUGUAAGGAGGCAACUCUUGUUCAGAAGUGAUAGUCAAAAUGGAAUCUGGAAAUGUUUCAAAGUUAGAAAUUAUUCAAUCUGUGUAAGAUUAGGAAACUUAAUGCGAGAAGGAUGUUUCCAAGGAGCUGAUCUCCUUUGGAAUGCUCUGUAAUGGUUGUUGUCAAGUCUUUCUGACUUUGUGCAUAAUCAUUACAAGAUGAUCAAUGCAUAUAUGUUUAGAAUCUAACAGAUUUCAGUAAAUGGCAUGAAUUUGGAAUUCUUGCAUUUGCAGUACAGAUUUGGGACUAUGAAAUGAGAAUUGAUGAGUUGAAAAACUCUUUGAUUGUUUAGAUCUUUAAACAGGUUAAUCCCAAUAUUACGAACAGAAAUAUCAAACAUAGGAAUGAAUCAAAAUAUGCUGAAUGAUUCAAUAGAUUCACGCCUCAGCAGAGCUCGAUAAAGAACUUCCAUUGUAAAGGCUGUUUACGGUUACAAUCGAUAAAAGUAUUCGCUGUGAAUAAUCGACUCCAAAAUCUUACGUACAAAGAUGCAUGCAAGCAUCUAUAAAUAGUAAACCCUAAUAAAUAAAUCACGGAUGGACAGGCCUAAUCCGGAUACAAAAUUGGACUAUGAACCGAGCCCAAGACGCAACACCUAAUGGACCCUACAAUCCCCCCCUUUGCGUCAGUUGGAGCGAGACUUUACUUCAGUUUGCUAGGUCCAGCUGCAGGAACUUUCUUCGUGGUGUCGAAAAGACGAGGAAUGAUAGCAAGGAUGGUUUGUCUGAAACAAAUGUACCACUGGAUCAUAUCAUCGAAAUACUUCUUGUCAUCUUCAGAAUUCUGCUUGCAUCGAUUGAUGAUCCCCAGAACAUGUUCCAAGCACGAAGUGGUAUGUAGAUGCUUAUCUGCCAAGGCGAAAAGGUAUUUUUGGCCUUCAUUCCUGGUGAACAUGACUGAGUUUCGCUUUGGAUCGAUUCUCCCCAUCUGCAUCAUAUUCAAAUCACUUGCAGAACCAACUGGAGAGAUGGUAGGCUUCUUCUUGAAGACACUUGCAAUCUCCUGAUCCAUCUUGGCGACCUCUAUGAUGUAGCAAACCAACAUCCUCUUGAAGUCAUCUAUGAUCGGCCCAUAUUCUGCUUCAUUGGUGAGGAGGAUGUUAUGCAAAAUGAUCCAAUCAUGUGGAUUCAGGUUAGGAAGAUCAGCGAGUGAAAUGGCAUGUUCGGUUAUAGCUGACCCCCUCAAAACUUUGAACUUGACAUUUGUGAAGUUACCCUCCCGAAAGGGUUUGAGGACCCGAACGUUUAUGAUCUUCUGCGCACUUCAUGUCUGAUAUUGAGGCUGAGCAGACCUCAUAUAGAACUCAACGAGCUCCCUAUAGACCUUUGGGUGAGGAUGAGGGACAUCAGCAACAUGGUAAAAUGCAUGAAAUAUGAAGGCCUUUCGGGUUAAAGGCAUGUCGAACUGAGAGUCGACAGAAUUAACCCGGUCCAAGAAAAUCACUAGUUCAAGCCAGAGGAUGUUGUGGGUAUCGAUAGCUUCUUUGAUAAGCUUCUCAAGAGUCCACAGAGGGAAUAGGGUUUUUUGACUUUCAAGGAGAUCAUGAGCCUCCUUCAUCUUCCUUUCGUUGGCUUCUGCCUCUCUUGCGAUUCGAGCACUCAUGUCUGAAUCCUUAUCCCUCGCCUGUUUCUUCAAGAGAUCAGCAAUGGUCUCUUUGUCAUCAUCACCAUCACUGUCAACCAUAGCCUUUUCCCUUUAUCUUGAGCACCCGAACCUGAAGCCUGACCAGUUGUUGGAGGUUCGGUUGCUUUAGUUGAAGCUGAUGUAGAAGUAGGAGGUGGUUGAAAUUAAUUUUUGCCCUUUGAAACCCCUUCUCCCCCAUGUUUUGGAUGGGCCACGAACUCAGGAAGCCCUUCAAUUUCGCUAAGGAGGUCAAGGGCGGGAGCAAGCUUCUCGGCUACAGUUUGCCUCACUGAGUAGUUCAGGAUUGGGUCGUGUGCUUUAAUAAUGUUGAGAGGGUGGCGUGGACAUCCGAAACACAAGUGGAAAUGACCGCUCGCUCAGAUCAGAGAGACGCAACCUCCUUUUCUGAUUGGGAAAGCUGAAGACUCUUCACCUUUAGAGCAGUGGUUUUACAAGCAAGCGCAUCCAUCACUGAGUUCUCCGAAGCGAGAUCUUCUUAGAGCUUGGUCAAUCACUCCUCAACAGUCGCCUGGAAGGAUUUAUUGUCAGCUUCAAGAGACUGACGAUGACUGGAAAAAAAUUGUUGUUUUGAUGCGAAUGAAGUAGCCAACUUCUUGACAACGGAAUCGACCUUCGCUGCACUAGAGUCAGCUGCUCCCUGUAAAGACCGUAAAAGAUUGUUAGCAUCAUGAAAUAGUUUUUUGACUUUUUCGGUCGCAGCAGCACAGGCCUUUGUGGAUGCUUCUAUAGCAGCAGUGGUGGAGUUGAUAGAGGCUUCAUGUGCCUUGGUGAAAAAAUCAACUAGCCCUUGAAUGGUAGCCUCUGAGAUAUUGGAUCGAGAGGAGGAGGAGCAAGUGAUGAGACUAUCAAUUUUCUCAUGAAGUUCCUUGAUGUGCUUUUUGGUGACAGGAGCAUCAUCGUCAUCAUCGCUUUGAACUUGGUAGGGACUGUAGUAGACAGAAUCGAAGGUCAUGUCUUCCCCUCCAAGAAAGGUCUCGGUAUCUGCUGAGUGAUUUGGAGAUGAAGGUGAAGGUGGAGGUUCGGUUAUGGUAGUAGGUUCGGGUUUGGAGGUGGGUUCGGUUGCAGGUGUGUGUUUGGGUGCUGAAGUGCGAGCCCCCGUAUCAGAUACAUUGGUUCGAACUCGAGUGGUUGUUGUGGUUGUAGCGUCUGAGAAAAUGGGGGUGGUACAUGAAUAGAAAUGGGUGGAAUAUGAGUAGUGGAGGUUAUGGGGGGAAUGGAAAUAGAGAUAGAGAUUGGUGGAGGAGAAAUAGGUUUGCUUGUAACUGGUACCUCAGGUGAAGGCGAGCGAGGAGGAGUGUCACCACGAAACGACUCCUCUGAGUUUGAACCCUCAUCCUAUGUUUCACUGGAGGAAGAGGAAAGAAUAAGUUUUCGCCUGGGCCGUGUUUUCCUCUUCUUUGGUGGAGGUGAUUGGGCUGCCUUCGUAGGUUUUCGCUUCUUAGGAGAAGGGCCUUUUGCCCCUUUUACCACCUUAUCGUCUUUCCCCUUUUCUGGUUUCUUGCCCCUGGGAGCAGGUGUCACACCCCCAAACCAGAACGGCGGAAACGUUCGGGGGCGGAGGACGUCAUAUUCAAUAUCAUAACAGUUUAUAGAAAGGAAAGUACACACUACCAUAUAUAAAGGUUUUAAAAAUGUUUACAUCGUUGUAUUCAUUACACGUUCAAAAGAUAAAUGCAUAAACAUCUUUCAAAAGAAGUAAAUAAUGCCAGCGCGGUAUUCACCAAAAGUUGAUUUCCAAACCUGCUUAACGAUUCCCUGAGAAUACAAGUUAUUUCAAAGAAAAAGUGUCAACAAUUAAGUUGGUGAGUUCAUAAGUGAUUUAGAAACAUUGAAUGCCAUUCCAAAAGCGAGUGUAUAUUUUCCAAGAAAAUCCCAUAUUUCCUUAUAAAAGUGUGAAAUGCAUGAGAAUAUUGGUAUUGAAAAACGUAGAUAGUUGAAACAAGAAAAUCCCUUAUUUUCCUAAUAGUUGUUUGUUUAAUGUUCAAGGCUAACAUUUUGAAGCAAUCCACAUGCUUUAGAAAAGUUUUAAACAUAGAUUUAUAUAAUAAACCUAUUAGAAGUUUUCAGUUUGUUAGAUAAUGAAUAACCGUAGUAACUACUUAUUCAUUAUUCAAAAGUACUAUAGUAGUUGUAUAUCCGAUGAGUUUUAUAACCAUACUGAACAUAAUAUGCCUGUAGCGACGUUCUUCAGGCGUCGUAGCGUUAUGACAAACUGUCACCCCAAAAGACGGACUGUAGCUAACAGCCAGGGUGCGGGAUCAUGACUUCCCGUAUAGAUCUAUACACAUUUGACACGUUCUCCGAACGGGAGACUCUGGUUAUAGACAGGACUUGUAGCGAUACCUUUUAUCUAAAAGGCAGUGUUUGAAGAUAUACACGUCUCAUGGAUUCUCAACUAAGUCUGUAUUAAAGUGAUAGUUUUGUAUGCAAAGUUUAUCCUUUUUCACAAUGUUUGACCAACAUAAAUCACAAGUUUUUAGAAUAUAUGAAACGGUUUAACAACGAAAGAUAUUUUGGUGUUACUAAAUACUUUGUAUAAAUCUAUUGCAUGCAAAGUAUAACAAGAGUUUUCGCAUAAUAGAACUAAAUCACAAGUGAUUCAUUUGAUAGAAACGAGUAAAUGAGAUUUUUACGAAAUACACGAUAAUAACGGUAUGUUUACUUGUAUUCCUCCCCUAAAAGAGUAUAAAAGCAUUUAAAAUGUAUUUAAAGAGUGUUCGAAGGGGAUAUGAACUCACUUGAUAGUUUGAAGAUAGCGAGAUGGAAAACCGGACAGAGUUUCGUCUCGGGAAACGGAUUUUCCUCGGGAUUCUCGGGAAUCUCGGGAGUAAAAUCGACCCUCGGGACUUGAGCAAAAAGACCAGAGCUUCGGGUUUGAACGGGCACGGAAAACGAGGCAAGAUUGUGAGAGAGAGGAGAGAAAUGAGCAUUUUUCUCGGAAGCCCUCGCAUUCUAUUUAUAGGAAGGCUGAACCGCCUCGGUACGCGGGGCGUACGCUCGUACGCAGCGCGUACGCGUACGUCAUGCAUGACCGAAGCCUCGACUGCCUCGGCUUCGGAUGGGACGGGUCGGUGGGGAGGCGGGUCGGAUGGGACGGCGGGUCGGAUGGGACAGCGGGUCGGACGGGUCGGUCGGACGGGCGGGUCGGACGGGUCGGAAGCCUCGGAUAGGGCGACGUGGACGAUCAGAGGCCAAGUCUCUCGGGUACGCAGGGCGUACAGGGGUACGCAGCGCGUACCUCGGAUGAGGACGCUGACUCCUCUUCGGAUAAGGUCCGAAUUUUGAUUUAAAUAAAUAUAUAAUUUAUUUAAUAAACUUCAAAAAUUCAUAUCUUCUUCAUACGAACUCCGUUUUCGAUGGUCUUUAUAUCCACGCGUAGGUGAGACUACGCUCUACAACUUUCGUUUAGACUCCGUCGGCAAAUUCCGAAAUUAUUUUUUUAUUAUUUAUAUUAAACUCAUCGUGUUUAAGGAAUUUCUUUGAAAAUUCCUAACUUCUUUAUCUGAUGUCGGUUUUUGCCAGACUUUUUACCGCUGAAAUACCAUUGUCGAGACCUUCGAUUCUCGUUUAGGUCAUUCCGGCCAAAAGUCGCUCGAUCUCCGAUUCGAGUUUUUAGCUGUCUACUGCUAUAUUCGGAUCUUGGAAAAAUCAUAACUUCCUCAUACGAAGUCAGAUUUGGACGUUCUUUUUGUGUACGCUCACGGUUUAAUGUUAUCUAUAACUUUCAUUUAGAUACCUAAGGCUAAAUGCUAUCGUAUUGAAACUUUGCGUUUUCCGUUUAAUCGGUGUUGUCGGUUUUGUCGGAAAUCUUAGAAUGGUCAUAACUUCUUCGUCAUAACUCGGAUUUUAGUGUUCUUUAUAUAUUUGGAAACCUUAAGACGAUAUCUACUACAUAGUGUACUCCAAUCAGAGCUUUUGAAUAAUUCAUUUAUCGAUGAUAUUGCUAUUACAUUCCAAAGAGGUUACAAGACUCGAUCUAUAAUGCCCGGAAAUAACGGGUUGUUACAGCAGGCUUGUCAGCGUCAUGGAUAGACUGAAUCAUCUCUGGAGUGAGCUCUCUUGGACCCGAAGGAAGAAACUCCUUGUAGGUUUUGAUGAUGCGACUCUCCCCUGAUACACACGCAUACAUUGACUCAGGAAUUGAGCCAACAAAUUGAAACUUGGAAGGAUCCGUCACAAUGAUCUUUGUAGUGUGGAAAGUGCCAAUAGAGGAGAGUGGAGAUGUAGCCAUAAUGGGAACAUGGUACUUGUCCAUUACCCAUUUGGUGACGAGCGUCCAGAACCUUGCAUAUGAAAUUUCAGAAUGUCGAGAGGUAGAGGCAAGGCUUUGGAUUAACUGCUGCCAUAAAACUGAGCCACAAUCGAGAUUGACGCCAGUGUACAACCCAUAGAGAAUCGUCAUGAACAGACGACUAGCCCCAUCAGAACCUGCACUUCUCUCUGAUAGACCCUUGAACAGUAUCGUGAAAAAGCCAUUCCACUGAGGAGGAAGACACGAUUUCUUGAACUUCAUGACGGUGGUAUGAAUCUCAGUGUAACCCAUGUUGUAAAACAUGGAGAACAACUGUCCCACAGAAAUCGACUCAGGGUUAACCCUUGACUCAUCAGUUUCAAACCCUAGAAACGAACAGAAUCGCUGUUUGGAGAUGGAGAUUUUGGUAUCAAGAAUGUCAAAGAAAAUGCGAUCAACAGACUUGUCGUAGUGGGCAGUGGAGAACAUCUGGGAUAAACACUACAUAGGUAUGAUUUCGACCUUGGUCAGUGCGAGAACCAGUGCAAAGUGUUUAAGACACUCCACUAUAGGGUACAUGAAGGCAUAGUACGUAGAUGGGGUGAGAUCAAUGACCAAGCUUUCCUGGGGUCGGAUAGGGAGAAUGUGGGAGGUUUCAUGAACAGAGGAGGAAUCCACCAUUGUUGAGUUCUUCGAAGAAGGAGAUGAACAGUGAUAGAAAAAUGUCUUUGUUUGCUCUCAUAAAAUUGGGUGCAGUAAAGAGGUAAAAGAACUUAGGGUUUACCCUUUAUACCGUGUGUAGAAGAGAGAGAAAAAUCCACCCCCAAAACUUCUUGAAAAACGAAUCGAUUCUGGAGUUGAUUAACGCGUGACACGUAGCAACCCCUAUGAUUACGCAUGAGAGAGAAAACCGUUUCCAUUUUGCACGCCUUCCCAUCAAAUACCCUUUUGAAUUCCUGAAACGUUUAGUCUCCCGGGUGAGUCAUCAUCUUAUCUUUAAAAUUAGCUAUCUUCACUCAAUAAAAGCAAUCACGUAAAUAAACCACAACAUCCCGUUGAAAAUAUAGCAUUAAAUACUAGAGCUAUAAAAAUAGCUUGUAGUGAACGAAACCAGACUUUUGGAAAAUCAAAAAGAUUUUCUUGCAUAGAGUGUCAAAGAUAAAGAAAUAAAGCAACAUAUAUGUGGAAAAUUGUGAUGUCAAUAAAGACACGAAACAGUGGAUCCCGGGCACGAAUCUCUUCCUUCAAAGUUGAGUGAGACUUUAAAGUUUUUGUGUGGUUUCCCGUUGAAUUUCGAUCAAGCACUUGUUAAGAAGUGUUGAAAGGCAUCUUUUAAUGAGGCUUAAAGGGGUGGCUUUCCGUUCAAUUCAGAAUUCUAGAUCUUGACAUAAGACAGAAACCGAAUGAAGUACUUGUGAGACCAAUGUGGUCUGUUGAACAAGUAGGUUUGGAUCGUAUUUUAGUGACUUGUUGAAAAUGCUAGGUAUGAAAUCUCAAGAAAGUUUAAAACUGGAUUCUAUGUGAAGAAAUGUUAUGGUAUGUAAGAAUUUCAUAAGAAUCACGCAAAGGGAAAAUAGAGAUUUGAUGGUACAACCACUUGAGUGGAUUCGUUAAAUCAUAAGUGAAAGCUAGAGCAAAUUUAAUUGUUCACCAUCAAUUUAUAGCGGGUAUUGAAUUGUGGGUUUCACUUAGCACGUAGUGACAUGAAGCUAAGAUCACUAACACAGAGAUUGUGUAACCAUAAACCUCAGUGGUAAUUCUUGAGAGUCUUAAGGGUUACUUGUAUGAAGUGAAUAUGAUGGAGAAAAAAUAUUUGAGGUCGUGUAAGAAAACUAAAGUACCUCUGCUAUAAAAAUAGUGACCAAGCAGAAAACUCUUAACUCAUGUGAGGAAAGAGUAAGGUAGCUCAUGAUUAGAAUAAAUGUUGCAGCCUAAUUGGGAAGACAAGGUUUGUAUAUAUCGAGUCAAUAAGGCUUUAUUCAAAAUAAGUUGAGGCUUCGGACAACAUGCAACAACAUGCUUCUAGGGACACUUAGCUAGUAAAAAGUGUGAGAAUGAUACCUUUUUGAGAUAAGCGAAAACAAGUGCAGUGGGACCGAACCCCAAAAUAGACCGAGCGUUCGAUUCAUUUGGAUUUCCAUGUGAACCAAGCCCGAAAUAAACCGAGCGUUCGGUUCAUUUCGCUUCCAACUUUUAGUUUUGAGAAUGUGUUUUUGAAACUGACUCCGAUUCCAUCAUACCUAGGCCUUGUUGAAUUUUAUUGAAACUUGCUUCAGGAAGAGCUUUGGUGAACAUGUCGGCCAGUUGAUCAUUUGUUCAAACAAAGUGAAUCUCUACGUUUCCAUCCUCCACAUGAUCCUUAAUAAAGUGAUACCUCAAUGCUAUAUGCUUUGUCUUGGAAUGUUGUACUGGGUUAUGACAGAUCCUAAUUGCACUUUCUGAGUCGCAAUAUAGUGGGAUCUUUUUCAUAUAGAGUCCAUAGUCCCGGAGUUGGCUUUGGAUCCAAAUCACUUGAGAUGUGCGUGAGGCGGCUGCAAUGUACUCUGCUUCGGCUGUAGACAGAGAAACACAUGUUUGUUUCUUAGAUUGCCAGCUCACCAACUUCCCGUUGAGGAAUUGACAGCCUCCUGUAGUGCUUUUCCGGUCUAAACCACAUACUCCUAGGUCUGCAUCUGAGUAGGCUUGAACGAAGAAACCUGAGUUUGAGGGAUACCAGAGACCGAGAGAGGUGGUUCGCUUCAAAUACCGGAAUAUAUUCUUCACUGCCAGCAUGUGUCGUUCACGAGGAUUUGCUUGAAACCUGGCACAAUAGCACACUGAAAACAUUAUAUCGGGCCUGCUAGCUGUGAGAUACAUCAGGGAACCAAUCAUUUGGCGAUAAAGCGUUAUGUCGACUGCUGGUUUUUCCAAAGAUGGUGUGAGCUUGGUACCGAAUACCAUAGGGACUUUGACCUUUGAGUCUCCCAUCAUGCCGAACUUUGUAAGAAGAGUCUUGGUAUAUGUUUCCUGGUUGAUAAAGAUGCUUUCGGGUCCCUGUCUAAUAUUUAAACCAAGGAAAAAGCUAAUUGGACCCAUUGAGCUCAUUUCAAAUUUAGUCUCCAUCAGCUUUCUGAAUUUAGCUGUUAGGCUAGGAUUCGUUGAGCCAAAGAUGAUAUCAUCAACAUAGAUUUGAACGAUCAUAAGGAGGUUAACUUCCUUUUUACGAAAGAAGGUUGGGUUAACCGAACCUUGUUUGAAUUUAGACAUCUUUAAGAACUUAGUUAAUGUUUCAUACCAUGCCCUAGGUGCUUGUUUCAGACCAUAAACAGCUUUAUCCAAGAUGUAGCAGUGAUCUGGAUGCUUUUCAUUUACAAAGCCAGGAGGUUGCUCCACAUACACAGUUUCUGCAAGUUCCCCAUUCAGAAAGGCGCACUUUACAUCCAUCUGGUAGACCUCAAAGUUCUUGUGUGCAGCAUAGGCAAGAAAUAUAUGAACGGAUUCCAGGCUUGCCACCGGAGCAAAUGUUUCUUCGUAAUCGAUUCCUUCUUCCUAGCAAUAUCCUUUCACCACUAGCCAAGCCUUAUUUCGAAUCACAUUACCCUCCUUGUCCAUUUUGUUUCGGAACACCCAUUUGAGACCGACAACCGAGGCAUCUUUUGGUGUUGGAAUUAGUCUCCAGACCUUAUUUCUUUCGAACUCAUUGAGUUCGUCUUUCAUUGCCUGAACCCAAUCAGAAUGGUCGAGAGCAAUAUUGACGGUCUUCGGCUCUAUUUUGGAGAUGAAAGAAUUAAACAUGCAGAAUUCUACUUUGGAGAAUAAGGCAGUUUGCUUCGCCUUCAGUUAAGAUCGAGUUAGAACCUUUUCAGAUGCAUCACCCACUAUUUGAGACACAGGAUGAUCUCUGGUCCAUUUGGUGAGAGGAGGAUAAUUUAGAUCAUAGGAUGGAUCCAAUUCAGCAUUUACCAUUUCUUCCAACUUUGAUUGAAUAUCAUCAUCAUAGAGCAUAUCCGAGUUCUCCCCCUCGACAGAUGAUGAACCAUUUGGAUGUGAACCCAAAAAUCUUUCUUCGACUGGGCUUUCAGGCUGAUCCGGACUUUCGGUUGUCACUGGACUUUCAGGUGCUAUAGAACUUUUGGGUCCGUCAAAUAUUGGAUUCUCCCCCUGAAUAUGUGAGUCCUGUUGAUUUGAAGAAAAUAGAUUCUCCCCCUCGACCGAAGUACCGAUCUGGGGAGGUUCGAUUCGAACUGGUUCUUCUUCUCCCAUUUGUUUGGCUGCAUCUUCGACAAUCUUCUUAACGUGAUCAAUCUUGUUGUCUACUGUCGUGGCCUCAGAGUGAGCAGCUUUCUCAGGUUCAUCAAAUAGAUCCAUGAACUGGUCAAAGAGAUUGGCGAUCGAGGCUGUGACUUGACCUGUUUGAGAGAAAAUCUCUCCAAUUGCAUCUUCGGUAGACUUCAACUUCUUGACAUAAUUGUCAUCGAACGUCAUAUAAUAGGUUUCUUUAAUUCUUUUAGAGCGCUUAUUCAAAACCCUGUAUGCCCUUGAAGUAAGAGAAUAUCCUAGAAAGAUACCUUCAUCAGCUUUGACAUCAAACUUGUUGCGAUGUUCUUUGGAGUUGAAGAUGAAGCACCUUGAACCGAAUACGUGAAAGAACUUGACAUUCGGCUUCCUGUUGUUAAUAAUCUCAUAAGGGGUGAGUGAGAAACGCUUGUUGAGAUAAGAUCUGUUUUCAGUAAAACAAGCUGCAGCAAUGGCGUCGGCCCUGAAAUACAGAGGAAGUGAAGCAAAGCUCAGCAUAUUUCGGGCCACCUCACACAGGGAUCGGUUUCGCCUUUCGACAAUUCCAUUAUGUUGAGGUGUAUAGGGGGCUGAGAAGUUGUGACUGGUGCCUUUUUCUGCUAAAAAAUCUUAGAAUUUUUUGUUCUUGAAUUCCAGUCCAUUAUCGCUCCUGAUGUUUCGAACGACUUUUCUCAGUUGCACUUCGACUUGCUUGAUAAAGAUCUUCAGUUUGGGAGUCGCCUCAGAUUUGUGCUUUAGAAAGAAAACCCAAGUAAAACGUGAGAAGUCAUCAACAAUCACAAGGAUGUACUUGUUACCGCCAAUGCUCUCUAUUGAUGAUGGACCAUAUAAGUCGAUGUGAAGCAACUCAAGUGGUUCAACAACUUUGGUGUUUAUGAUUGUUGGGUGACUUUUGCGACUUUGUUUCUCCAUUUCAUAUGCAGCACAUAAGUGUUCACGAUCGAACUUGAGCAGUGGAAGUCCCCGAACAUAACCACCGGUGACUAGUUUGUUGAUGUCUUCGAAGUUGAGAUGUGAGAGCCUUCAGUGCCACAACCAACUUUCGUCUAAAUGAGCUUUGGACAAAAGACAUAUUGCUGGAUUCCCUUUGAUUGGUCUGAGAUUCAGAUGGAGCAUUUCACCUUUUCGUUCAGACUUGAGAAUGACUUUGUUGGAUUUCUUCUCUGUUAUCUCUGAACCUUCAUCAUCGAAUGAGACUUUGAGACCUGUUCCUCCCACCAGUUGAGACACACUGAUGAGGUUAUGCUGCAACCCCUCUACAUACGCCACCUUCCUGAUUGUAAAAUCUCCAUUGGUUAUCAUCCGAUAACCCUUUAUCGUUCCAUAAGAGUUGUUACCAAACUUGACAUUGCCACCGUUUUGAAGUGACCGAAACUCCCUUAGCUCUUCCUUCCUUCCUGUCAUGUGACAUGAGCAGCCACUGUCUAUGUACCAUUCUUCGUCGAACUGCUCGUCACUUAUAACCUGCAAAAAUUAAGCAGAUUUAGGAACCCAAAGUUUCUUGGGUUCUCGUGAGCCUUUUACAUAAACAAGAAUAGUAAGAGAAACAUCAACAAGAUAUGUUCGUUUUAUUAAGGUUGUUUCAUAUUUCCUCUUAAUGGUAAACACUUUGAUUUUAUUAGAGUUAGAUGCAGGUAUUUUGGAUUCAGGUUCGGGCAUUUGGACAUUAGCUUACUUUCGGUCUUCAUUUGCUGAGGAAAUCUUCCUUUUUCCUUUCAAAUCCUUCGAUGAUUGCGAGUUUGGUGUAGGACGAGAAUUAGGCUUAGAAGAAGAAUGAGAAUGAGAAGCAUUAGAAGAAAAGAAAUUAGAAUGAGAAUCUUUCCUGACUUGAGGUUCGAAAUGCCCGUUUCGGUUUUGGUCAUUUGAGGGAUCGAACCUAGACCUUCGGUUGCUCUUUGAUGACGGACCGAAACUGUUUUUCCGGUUGUUUUGAGUUGCUGGACCGAAGCUGGGUCUUCUACUAUGAAAGCUUGAUGGGCUGAACUCUGGUCUUUGUCUGUUCUUGUUUGUUGGACCGAAACUAGCCUUUCGGUUGUUGUUACUUUCGGGACCGAACCUAUCCUUCCGGUUUUNUCUUCCUGUGGCCCGAAAGUCUUCCUCUAGUUCUUUUGGAUUGAUGGAUCGAAGCUCCUUUUACUCUUGUUUUCUUCUCCUUUUGGCUUGGAGUUUCUGUCAUAGUGAGUAUAGUGAGGGUUUUGGGAGCGCCAGAACUGCCUCCGCUCUGAGAGAUUUUUCUUGUAUCUCAAAUUUCUCUGCUGCUUUUGAUUUUUGACCUUUUUCGGUUGUCUGUGAAUAUUUGCCUUCUGUUUCGGCUUCUUAGCAACAGGUUCACUUUUCAUUGAAGAGGUUUCGCUAGUUGAGGAGACAUAUUCCACUGGAACCUCUUUUGUGCCGCUGGAACUGGGCACGUCAAAGUUGGUAGGUUUAUUUAGUGGUUCUGCCACGUAUCUACCUUUGGCCUUCCAUGAUGUUCGCUCCGACAAACCAACUGUUUCAUCUGCGUUGUCUAUCGGUGCAGACCAGAAAAACUCAUCACAGCCAUCUGCAUUAUCUUCAUUCACUAUGGCAGUGAGUUCGGCUGUCUGAUGUUUGGUUACUCCUGUGACCUUAUAAACCUGAUUGGGAGUGGUUCGAACCUUUUGGUAUACAACGACCUUUUCUUUAAGGAUUGGGGACUUAUGUUUGGACCAACGAGCGAAUUCCAUAGAAUUUUCAGAAAUCAAGUUUUUGUGGUUUUCAGUUUCGCUCCUAAUGAACUCGGAACAGUCAACCUCAUCCUCUACAAAAAUUUCACUCAUGUCAUCGUCCUCAUUAAGUUUAGAUGCAUUUUCAACAUCAAUUUUAUUUUCUGAACUUAAUUUGGUACUCAAUGAGUCAAAUUUUUGUAUAGUUUCGGCCCUGAGUUUCAACUUAUCAUUUUCAUCCAAAAGAUUCUUAAGCAUGUCCUUAUGGUCUUUGGACUUUAUAAAAGAUUCAAUUUUGUCCAGACCAUACAUAUAAGUGGGAUUGACAUCAUCUGAAGAUACAACACUUUCAUAGUUGUAUGCUUCGGCAUCGAUUUCAUCCUCCUUUAACUCAAGGAAGGGUAAGAUCAUGCGAUGUAUCUUCUGGCCUAUUUCACAGUCUAAAUGUAGCUGAGUAAUGUUAGUAUAAAGUCUUUUUGCAAUUAAACAAAAAAAAAAUCUCUGUUUUAACAAUUUAAGAUUGUCUCUUUGUAAAUAGAUAUUUUCAUCCCUAGUUUUAACCAGCUCCAACUCCUUCUGCUCUAUCCAUAUCCUUCGCUCCUCACUCUUGGAUGACACCCUGCUUAUUUGGUCAGUUAGAUUAGAAUUCGUGACACGUGUUUGAGUUAAACAACUAUCUAGAUUUGAAAUUCUUGAAUUCAAGUUAUUUAAUUCUUUUUCAUAUGAUGUUUGUGGAAUUUUAAAUGAAACAAAAAUAGAUUGUACCUUCUUGAUCAGUUCGUCUAGUUCACUGAUCUGCACAUUGAGAGGCUUCGCUAUAAAGAACAUGUCCUCUCGCUCCUUAGCCUCUUCGUUUCCACCAUCAGUGUUGUAUCCCCUCAUCUGGGAUACAUCUGACACCAUCAGACAUCUUCCACCAACAUCACUACUCUUAUCCACAUAAGCCUUUCCAUGAGAAGGCUUUCUCACUUCAUCAUCUUCUGAGUCGGUUGACCACACCUGUACGCCACCGAACUCAUCAUCAUCUACCGAAUCCUGCACAACAAGAGCAUUCAUAGAAGGAUUAGUAGCAGCUUUCUUCCUCUUAAUCUCCUCCAGUCUUUUCAGUAGACUUGCUUCUUCAUCCUUCUCCUCAUCUUUCUCUGCCAUCUUCUUCGACACGCAAUCUUUUGCGUAGUGAUUUUUCCCACCACAGUAAAAGCAACUGACACCAGAGUCAGCUUCACCCAUCGCUUCUUUCUUUGAUUCUUCAACCUUCGGCUCCUCUUUCACCUUUUAAGAACUAUAGCUUCCCUGUCAAUUUCGGUUCUUAUUGGUAAGGAACUUCUUCUUAAUGAACCUACUGGGAUUUGACACCAUCAUAGCAUAGUCUUCAUCUAUUAAAUUGUAGUCUCCCAGAUUUAAAUCUUCUUCUUCUGCUGCUGCAUUCUUACCUUUGGACAGAAGUGCCAAAGACACCAAGUUUGAAACCACGCUUUUCUCUUGUAACACAAUAUUUUCCUGGGAUUUCAGAAUCCCCACCAGUUUUGCCAAAGAGUACAAUUUGAACUGCUCAUGCGCUUUAACCGUCGACACAACUGCCCUCCAUUCGGGUCUUAGGCCAUUUAAGAAAGUGACCUUCUGUUCGAUGAGCUUUCUUUCAAUGUCAUGUUUGAUAAUCUUGCUGAGAAGAUGAUUGAAUCGAUCAAAUGUUUGUGUAACAACCUCCUCUGGCAUCUGCUUGAAUUCUCCAAAUUCAGAGAGAAGUAGGGUCUGAAUUGAGUGCUCUAGAUCUUCAUCUGUGGAGUACAGCUCUCGCAGUCGAUCCCAGAUUUCUUUUGCUGUACCACAAGAACUUACUAAUCGAAACAUGUCGGAUUGAAGAGCGAAUCGAAUUAGUCUCAAUGCCUUAAUGUUGCAUUGGAACUUUUCCUUUUCGUACUGACCGACGUCCUUUACAUCUUUUAAUAGAUCGUUAUACUCCUUUUGAGUUUUUAUGAUUCUAGAAGUGCUUGAAUGAGCGAAAGGGCCAUAUGUGAUAGCUUCCCAUAUCAGAUACCCAUUAUCUUCAUAUCCAAUAACAUAAUAUUCAAAGUGGUGCGUCCACACUUCAUAGUCUUGUGUGUAGAGGAUAGGAAUCUUGGUGGUUGAUCUGAUGCUAUUAGAGAUGUUGAUGGGAUUGGAUUCAGAAUCGUCCAUGCAUGAUCGUUUAACAUGUUAUAAGAUCAGACUUUGUAAUAUGUAAUAUUAGGGCAAGAUGAAUAAUUAAUGAGAUACGUCAAUUAUGGAGUGACGGCUAAAUAAAUAUCAAUGAAUGCGGAAUAAACCCUAAUCACUUCUUUUACAGAAGAGAUGUGUAUGAAUUACACAGUCUCCUGCUCUGAUACCAAUUGAUGAGUUGAAAAACUCUUUGAUCGUUUAGAUCUUUAAACAGGUUAAUCACAAUAAUACGAAUAGAAAUAUCAAACACAUGAAUGAAUCAAAAUAUGCUGAAUGAUUCAAUAGAUUCACGCCUCAGCAGAGCUCGAUAAAGAACUUCCGCUGUAGAGGCUGUUUAGGGUUAAAAUCGAUAAAAGUAUUCGCUGUGAAUAAUCGUCUCCAAAAUCUUACGUACAAAGAUGCAUGCAAGCAUCUAUAAAUACUAAACCCUAAUAAAUAAAUCACGGAUGGACAGGCCCAAUCCGGAUACAAAAUUGGACUAUGAACCGAGCCCAAGAUGCAACACCUAAUGGACCCUACAAGAAUCAUUGGAGUUAUGUUCAAUUGGUCUAUUUCGCAAAGUAAAGAUCAUAGACAAACAUUGUAUGCAUACUUUGUGUAUGGCAUGACUACUGUUUAGAAAACAUAGUGUACAUGCUUGGAGGAUGGGACAACUAUUGUUUUAAAUUCAAGAAUAAUGUUGAUAGCUGAAACAAUAUACAAUGAAUAAUGUGUAACAAUAUGGUGAUAAAUUAAAAGUGUUUUAUUUGUGUUCAUAGGUUUUGAUACCAUAUUGGAUUCAAUUAUUAUUGUGUUUCACUUUGCAUGUUUUUUUUAACUUCCUGAAUAACUAGGUUAUUGUUCUGGAUGUCUAAGUUAUUCAAACCAUCUACAGUCGGUCAUAUGUUGGAAAUAGAUAUGAUUUAAGAUUGUCGUGGGUUGGCUUGUAGAGGUAUAAGAUGUUGGACAAAGGGCUGCAACACUCAUGAGUGCUCAUAAGUUCUGAGUAUUGGAUUCAACCCGCACUCAUUGGAAUCACUUCAUGGAUUUUAUCAUGAGUGAUCAUGAGACGAUAAUAUCUUAUAUUCUUCAAACAUAGAGAUAUGAGUUGUUACUAUGAGUUGGUUAUACAUUG
This 22402-nucleotide long non-coding RNA is filed under the name Lactuca sativa (garden lettuce). RNAcentral describes it as "long non-coding RNA (LSAT_LNC010254)". Lineage: Eukaryota; Viridiplantae; Streptophyta; Magnoliopsida; Asterales; Asteraceae. The record is from RNAcentral.